RNAcentral lists this ribosomal RNA (457 nucleotides) under uncultured Pelotomaculum sp. Its description in RNAcentral is "bacterial SSU rRNA". It matches the Rfam family "Bacterial small subunit ribosomal RNA", at positions 924 to 1382 of the family's 1533-position model. The record is from RNAcentral. Lineage: Bacteria; Bacillati; Bacillota; Clostridia; Eubacteriales; Desulfotomaculaceae.
CACAAGCGGUGGAGCAUGUGGUUAAUUCGACGCAACGCGAAGAACUUACCAGGCUUGGCAUCCCCUGACCGCGUAUGAAAGUACGUUUUCACCCUCGGGUGACAGGGAGACAGGUGGUGCAUGGUUGUCGUCAGCUCGUGUCGUGAGAUGUUGGGUUAAGUCCCGCAACGAGCGCAACCCCUACGUUUAGUUGCUAACGCGUGAAGGCGAGCACUCUAGACGAACUGCCGUUGACAAAACGGAGGAAGGUGGGAUGACGUCAAAUCAUCAUGCCCCUUAUGUUCUGGGCUACACACGUGCUACAAUGGCCGGUACAGACGGACGCAAAGCCGCGAGGUGGAGCAAAUCCUAAAAAGCCGGUCUCAGUUCGGAUUGCAGGCUGCAAUUCGCCUGCAUGAAGUCGGAAUCGCUAGUAAUCGCAGGUCAGCAUACUGCGGUGAAUACGUUCCCGGGCCUU